This 403-nucleotide ribosomal RNA is filed under the name Verrucomicrobiota bacterium. Its description in RNAcentral is "Verrucomicrobia bacterium partial 16S ribosomal RNA". It matches the Rfam family "Bacterial small subunit ribosomal RNA", at positions 355 to 776 of the family's 1533-position model. The record is from RNAcentral. Lineage: Bacteria; Pseudomonadati; Verrucomicrobiota.
UGGGGAAUAUUGCACAAUGGGGGAAACCCUGAUGCAGCGACGCCGCGUGAGCGAAGAAGGCCUUCGGGUCGUAAAGCUCUUUUAUAUGGGAAGAUAAUGACGGUACCAUAAGAAAAAGCCCCGGCUAACUACGUGCCAGCAGCCGCGGUAAUACGUAGGGGGCUAGCGUUGUCCGGAAUCACUGGGCGUAAAGGGUUCGCAGGCGGCAAUGCAAGUCAGGUGUAAAAGGCAAAGGCUCAACCUUUGUAAGCAUCUGAAACUGUAUAGCUUGAGAAGUGUAGAGGCAAGUGGAAUUUUUGGUGUAGCGGUGAAAUGCGUAGAUAUUAAAAAGAAAACCGGUGGCGAAGGCGGCUUGCUGGGCAGUAACUGACGCUGAGGAACGAAAGCGGGGGGAGCAAACAGG